CCAGACUCCUACGGGAGGCAGCAGUGGGGAAUAUUGCACAAUGGGGGAAACCCUGAUGCAGCGACGCCGCGUGAGCGACGAAGUAUUUCGGUAUGUAAAGCUCUAUCAGCAGGGAAGAAAAUGACGGUACCUGACUAAGAAGCCCCGGCUAACUACGUGCCAGCAGCCGCGGUAAUACGUAGGGGGCAAGCGUUAUCCGGAUUUACUGGGUGUAAAGGGAGCGUAGACGGUCCUGCAAGCCAGAUGUGAAAGCCCGGGGCUCAACCCCGGGACUGCAUUUGGAACUGUAAGGCUAGAGUGUCGGAGAGGCAGGCGGAAUUCCUAGCGUAGCGGUGAAAUGCGUAGAUAUUAGGAGGAACACCGGCGGCGAAGGCGGCCUGCUGGACCGUAACUGACGUUGAGGCUCGAAAGCGUGGGGAGCAAACAGGAUUAGAUACCCCAGUAUAC
Molecule: ribosomal RNA, 447 nt
Filed under: uncultured bacterium
Lineage: Bacteria
Description: bacterial SSU rRNA
Rfam family: Bacterial small subunit ribosomal RNA
Source: RNAcentral